This 305-nucleotide ribosomal RNA is filed under the name uncultured bacterium. RNAcentral's name for it is "bacterial SSU rRNA". It matches the Rfam family "Bacterial small subunit ribosomal RNA", at positions 333 to 652 of the family's 1533-position model. The record is from RNAcentral.
UUUGUCCUACGGGGCGCAGCAGUGGGGAAUAUUGCACAAUGGGGGGAACCCUGAUGCAGCAAUGCCGCGUGAAGGAUGAAGGUUUUCGGAUUGUAAACUUCUUUUGUACGGGACGAAGAUAGUGACGGUACCGUAAGAAUAAGCCACGGCUAACUACGUGCCAGCAGCCGCGGUAAUACGUAGGUGGCAAGCGUUAUCCGGAUUUAUUGGGUGUAAAGGGCGUGUAGGCGGGAAUGCAAGUCAGAUGUGAAAACUAUGGGCUCAACCCAUAGCCUGCAUUUGAAACUGUAUUUCUUGAGUGCUGG